Molecule: ribosomal RNA, 865 nt
Filed under: uncultured bacterium
Lineage: Bacteria
Description: bacterial SSU rRNA
Rfam family: Bacterial small subunit ribosomal RNA
Source: RNAcentral
CAGUGGGGAAUCUUGCGCAAUGGGCGAAAGCCUGACGCAGCGACGCCGCGUGUGGGAAGAAGGCCUUCGGGUUGUAAACCACUUUCAGGAGGGAAGAAGCGAAAGUGACGGUACCUCCAGAAGAAGGUCCGGCCAACUACGUGCCAGCAGCCGCGGUAAUACGUAGGGACCGAGCGUUGUCCGGAAUUAUUGGGCGUAAAGAGCUCGUAGGCGGUUCUUUAAGUCGGAUGUGAAAUCUCAGGGCUUAACCCUGAAACCGCACCCGAUACUGGAGAACUUGAGGCAGGUAGGGGAGAUCGGAAUUCCUGGUGUAGCGGUGAAAUGCGCAGAUAUCAGGAGGAACACCGGUGGCGAAGGCGGAUCUCUGGGCCUGUUCUGACGCUGAGGAGCGAAAGCGUGGGGAGCAAACAGGAUUAGAUACCCUGGUAGUCCACGCCGUAAACGAUGGGUGCUAGGUGUGGGAGAUAAUCCACUUCUUCCGUGCCGCAGCUAACGCAUUAAGCACCCCGCCUGGGGACUACGGCCGCAAGGCUAAAACUCAAAGGAAUUGACGGGGGCCCGCACAAGCGGCGGAGCAUGUGGCUUAAUUCGAAGCAACGCGAAGAACCUUACCAGGGCUUGAAAUAUACGGAAAAACCAUGGAAACAUGGUGUGUUUCGGCGUCGUAUACAGGUGGUGCAUGGUUGUCGUCAGCUCGUGCCGUGAGGUGUUGGGUUAAGUCCCGCAACGAGCGCAACCCUUAUCCUAUGUUGCCAGCGCGUAAUGGCGGGGACUCAUGGGAGACUGCCGGUGUCAAACCGGAGGAAGGUGGGGACGACGUCAAAUCAUCAUGCCCCUUAUGUCCUGGGCUGCACACAUGCUACAA